UUGUGGACAGUAGUCUCUUUCAUUAGAAAGAGCAAUGACAUCUCUUGACCUCAAAUCACGUAGGACUACCCGCUGAACUUAAGCAUAUG
Molecule: ribosomal RNA, 89 nt
Filed under: Agrocybe chaxingu
Lineage: Eukaryota; Fungi; Basidiomycota; Agaricomycetes; Agaricales; Agrocybaceae
Description: partial 28S ribosomal RNA
Source: RNAcentral